UCGGCAGUCGCUAAUGGUAAGCACGCUGACUCUGAAUCAGCCGAUGUACGUUCGACCCGUACCUGCCGAGCCA
RNAcentral lists this transfer RNA (73 nucleotides) under Pseudaminobacter soli (ex Zhang et al. 2022). RNAcentral's name for it is "tRNA-Gln". It matches the Rfam family "tRNA". From Rfam's summary of the family: Transfer RNA (tRNA) molecules are approximately 80 nucleotides in length. Their secondary structure includes four short double-helical elements and three loops (D, anti-codon, and T loops). The record is from RNAcentral. Lineage: Bacteria; Pseudomonadati; Pseudomonadota; Alphaproteobacteria; Hyphomicrobiales; Phyllobacteriaceae.